This is a long non-coding RNA of Ochotona curzoniae (black-lipped pika), 650 nucleotides long. RefSeq lists it as uncharacterized. The record is from RefSeq and is a predicted model, not a curated record. The transcript is spliced from 4 exons. NCBI's taxonomy places the organism in Eukaryota, Metazoa, Chordata, Mammalia, Lagomorpha, Ochotonidae.
UGGGCUGGAAGUUUGACUUCCUCAGGGAGCUCUGAAGGCCUUGCUGGAGCUUCCAUCUGGCUAGCAGGAAGUUCAAUUGCUUCAGGAGACACAGAAUUUGGGGCUGGCUGCUCUGACUCAUCAGGUUCAUCUGUCUCCUCCUGACUCAAUGGAGCUUGAACUAUAUUCUGGAUAGGAGAUUCUGAAGCUUGAGCUGGAGACUCCUCUUGGGCUGGAAGUUUGACUUCCUCAGGGAGCUCUGAAGGCCUUGCUGGAGCUUCCAUCUGGCUAGCAGGAAGUUCAAUUGCUUCAGGAGACACAGAAGUUGGGGCUGGCUGCUCUGACUCAUCGGGUUCAUCUGUCUCCUCCUGACUCAAUGGAGCUUGAACUAUAUUCUGGAUAGGAGAUUCUGAAGCUUGAGCUGGAGACUCUUCUUGGGCUGGAAGUUUGACUUCCUCAGGGAGCUCUGAAGGCCUUGCUGGAGCUUCCAUCUGGCUGGCAGAAGAUUCAGUCUGCUCAGGAAACUCUGAGGCGUGGCAUGCCCGGCUGGCUUCUCCUGUUCACUGGCAGAAGGCCCUGUUUGCACUGGGGCUCCCAGAAUCUGAACAGGGACUGCAUGCUGGUUUAGAGAAGAUUUGAACUUACUGGUAGGUUUUGUAGUUAUGAGAACU